Molecule: long non-coding RNA, 101 nt
Organism: Telopea speciosissima
Lineage: Eukaryota; Viridiplantae; Streptophyta; Magnoliopsida; Proteales; Proteaceae
Exons: 3
Source: RefSeq, a predicted model, not a curated record
CUCAAAUUCACAGCAGAAACAUAACCUGUUACCAUCAUUUUCAGCAAUUCCAAUCUCUCACGUUAACUGUCAUUAACUCCUACAGCAGGAGAGAUGGAAAA